UAGUCAUAUGCUCGUCUCAAAGAUUAAGCCAUGCAUGUGUAAGUAUAAGCAUUUAUACUGUGAAACUGCGAACGGCUCAUUAAAUCAGUUAUCGUUUAUUUGAUAUUUCCUUACUACAUGGAUAACCGUAGUAAUUCUAGAGCUAAUACAUGCGCAAAAUUUCAAUCCGCAAGGAGAGAAAUGUAUUUAUUAGAUAAAAAACCAAUCCGUGUUCUGCACGGUUCUUUGGUGAUUCAUAAUAACUGUAUCGAAUCGUAUGGCCUUGUGCCGACGAUGU
This 277-nucleotide ribosomal RNA is filed under the name uncultured eukaryote. RNAcentral's name for it is "partial 18S ribosomal RNA". It matches the Rfam family "Eukaryotic small subunit ribosomal RNA", at positions 21 to 293 of the family's 1831-position model. The record is from RNAcentral.